Molecule: ribosomal RNA, 497 nt
Filed under: uncultured bacterium
Lineage: Bacteria
Description: partial 16S ribosomal RNA
Rfam family: Bacterial small subunit ribosomal RNA
Source: RNAcentral
GAUGAACGCUGGCGGCGUGCCUAAUACAUGCAAGUCGAGCGAACAGACGAGGAGCUUGCUCCUCUGACGUUAGCGGCGGACGGGUGAGUAACACGUGGAUAACCUACCUAUAAGACUGGGAUAACUUCGGGAAACCGGAGCUAAUACCGGAUAAUAUAUUGAACCGCAUGGUUCAAUAGUGAAAGACGGUUUUGCUGUCACUUAUAGAUGGAUCCGCGCCGCAUUAGCUAGUUGGUAAGGUAACGGCUUACCAAGGCGACGAUGCGUAGCCGACCUGAGAGGGUGAUCGGCCACACUGGAACUGAGACACGGUCCAGACUCCUACGGGAGGCAGCAGUAGGGAAUCUUCCGCAAUGGGCGAAAGGCUGACGGAGCAACGCCGCGUGAGUGAUGAAGGUCUUCGGAUCGUAAAACUCUGUUAUUAGGGAAGAACAAAUGUGUAAGUAACUAUGCACGUCUUGACGGUACCUAAUCAGAAAGCCACGGCUAACUACGUG